RNAcentral lists this ribosomal RNA (525 nucleotides) under Triticum aestivum (bread wheat). Its description in RNAcentral is "partial small subunit ribosomal RNA". The record is from RNAcentral. Lineage: Eukaryota; Viridiplantae; Streptophyta; Magnoliopsida; Poales; Poaceae.
AUGGCAAACGCCAAGCUUGUAGUCGUGGGCGUGGCCAUCCUUGUAAUCCUGCUGCAGGUGUCGACGUGCGCCAUGGCCCGGCACCACGCCAAGCCGGACCCGUGCGCCAGCGAGGACGACUCCGUGCCGGGCAUGGUCCACAAGCACAAGCACAACAAACCCCACUGCACCACGCUGGGCCACAACGGCGGCGGCGGCAGCACCCCAGGCGUGAUGACGGUGAACGGCUUCCAGAAGGGCCAGGACGGCGGCGGGCCGUCGGAGUGCGACGGUAAGUACCACAGCAACGGUGACAUGAUCGUGGCGCUGUCGACGCGCUGGUACGCGGGCGGACGCCGGUGCGGCAAGAUGAUCAACAUCACCAGCAAGCACAACGGGCGCACCGUGCAGGCCAAGGUGGUGGACGAGUGCGACUCCAACCACGGCUGCAAGACCAACAUCGUGGACACCUCCGAGGCCGUGUGGAAGGCGCUCGGGCUCGACAGCAACAUCGGCGAGGUGCCGGUGACAUGGUCCGACGCCUGA